UGAUUGACAAUAUGGUUACAAGAAGGAUGAAGUGAAAUAAGAUCUAGUAGGUACUCCCUUCCUCUUCUCUAUCCACCUUUCCUUUCUCUGCUCUUCUCCUUCCCUUCCUUUUAUCUGCAGUUGUCACUGGGAAUUAGACUGAUUAAGAAAGAAGGAGGAAUGGAGUAAAGUCAUCAGGAUUAAUAGAUCAAGAUAAGGUAUUGGGGAAAUAGAUUUAAAAAAGAGGAGGUAGAGAUAAAGGGAGAAAGGAAGGAAAGGGAUAUGACAAUAAAACAAAAGGAUGAAAGAGGUGGCUUAAAUAACUCAGAGGAAGAAAAAGAAUAGAAAGAUCGGCAGAAAACGCUAGAAUGAGAAAAAAAAGAAAAGGAGAGGAUUAAAACUGUAACACCUACCCAUGUUUCAUACUGUGCUAUUUUUACUUCUGGAGGGAAAGAUGAAAAAGCCACACUCACCUGGACAGGCCGAAAUCAGAUACUUUAACAACUCCUUGAUCGUUUACCAAACAGUUUCGAGCUGCCUGUAGUGCAAACAGAGACCAGUGAGACUCCGUCCCCAGCACAGAGGUUAAAGGCACAAAGCUUCUGCUGACCAGUAGAAUGAAGCCAGGGAAGCUUCAUCUCCUUCGACUACAGACACCUUCCCACCUAAUAGGAAUCUGUUGAUGCCACCAAGAAAUUUUGAUUCAUUUCCACCACGUGGAAAGCAACCUGCUGUGUAGUCCUAGGUAAAGCACUGAGGACAUACAGAACGAUUGCAUUCUCAUGGGCAAUUCCACACCACCCCAUUCCCUCACUGAUAUGCUGAAAGAAUUAAGGGAGAGGCUGGGUGCAGUGGCUCACGCCUGUAAUCCCAACACUUUGGGAGGCCGAGGUGGGUGGAUCACCUGAGGUCAAGAGUUCAAGACCAGCCUGGCCAACAUGGCGAUACCCCAUCUACUAAAAAUACAAAAAUUAGCUGGGCGUGGUGUUGGGCGCCUGUGAUCCCAGCUACUUGGGAGGCUGAGGCAGGAGAAUUGCUUGAAUCUGGGAGGCGGAGUUUGCAGUGAGCCGAGAUGGUGCCAUUGCACUCUAGCCUGGGCAACAGAGCGAGACUCCAUCUCAAAACAAAACAAAACAAAACAAAACAAACAAAAAACAAAGAAGGGAGAAUGAGAAGUAAGUUUUUUUGCUUUCUGCUUUUCUGCCAGUGAGACUAGGACAAUUUGAGCCUUGGCCUGACUGAAAGAAACAGGGGCGCAAACUCUGAUGCUUACAGGGGCCAGGCAAGUUAAGUAAGAGUGAAGUGAAGUGGAUCGAGAUUGCAGGAAAUGGAGAGUACAUGCCUAGAGGAAAGGAGGCGGUUCGUGAGAAUGUGGACCUGGUAUUUCCAGACGGUGUAGAUUUUCAAGAGAAGCUGGAAAUUCCAGGGUUUUUUUUUUUUUAAGCGAAAUGUUUCUUUUUAAGGGUUUGCUAAU
Molecule: long non-coding RNA, 1453 nt
Filed under: Homo sapiens (human)
Lineage: Eukaryota; Metazoa; Chordata; Mammalia; Primates; Hominidae
Description: HSALNT0284771
Source: RNAcentral